Molecule: long non-coding RNA, 666 nt
Filed under: Manduca sexta (tobacco hornworm)
Lineage: Eukaryota; Metazoa; Arthropoda; Insecta; Lepidoptera; Sphingidae
Description: uncharacterized LOC119192719
Source: RNAcentral
AUUAUUUUUUAUCGGGCACCAUAGAUGGCGUUACUAGGCACGUUUCAAUAAUAGAUUAACUCGCAUUUGUAUUUGAACGAACUGACAGCAAAAAAUAAAAAUAAAUGUGGGGUAGAAGAAGUUUCGCUGGUGGAAAGAAAGGAAGGAUUGAGGUGACACGGAGGACUUGAGUAGUGUCCGUUAUUAUUAAGUUUUUUUUUAAGUGAGAUUGCGAGAGAGUGUCGCGAAGUAAUAAUCACGUGUGAGAUAUUGAGACAUAGUACGGAGUGUGUGUAAAUACUGUUUCGGCCACGGGCCUGCGGAAACGCCCUUGAUAAAUCGACGAUACCGAAAUCGUGCUUACGGACGUCUGUGCCAGUCGUGGAAUUCCGGUGAGGAGUCAAGGGACUGGAAGGUCGCAGAACUACCUCUAGCCAGUGCCCAAAUUUCCUGACUUCGUGUGGCAUCGUCGCCAGAGAGUAGUGGGCCAAGUAAUUGCGAGCAAGUAGCGGCGGACUGAGAUUUGAGCCAGUCCCUGACAUUACCGGCGAGCUGGACUUAGGCCCUUCAUUGUGGGGUCAUUGUUUUGUCAUGAGUGCUCAUGCCAGCUUUUUUGUCGCAUGACUAGAUUAAGUGAUUCCACUUGUUAAUAGAUUAAGUUACCUUGAUUAAAAUAUGUUUAGCAAA